CUUCUGACCGGAAGCAUCUCGGAGCAGCAGCGGACAGUUUGAAAGCGACCGAGCCGAGUUUGAGACGUUUUCACGGUGUUUCCGUUAAACCGGAGAGAUUCUCCUCAGAGACCGAGUCACCGAGGACAGAAAGAAGCGGACAGCUUUCCCGCCGCUGGAGGACGAAGACACGAAGAUAACGGACCAACAUGGCGGAUUGCUCCGGACGCUAUGAGCGUCUGACAGCAGAGCAGAUGGAUGAACAGAGGAUCCAGAACGUGGCCUAUCAGUACCUCUGCAGGCUGGAGGAGGCCAAGAGGUGGAUGGAGCGUGUCUGGGG
This is a long non-coding RNA of Perca fluviatilis (European perch), 319 nucleotides long. RefSeq lists it as uncharacterized. NCBI's taxonomy places the organism in Eukaryota, Metazoa, Chordata, Actinopteri, Perciformes, Percidae. The transcript has 3 exons. The record is from RefSeq and is a predicted model, not a curated record.